CCUACGGGUGGCAGCAGUGAGGAAUAUUGGUCAAUGGGCUAACGCCUGAACCAGCCAAGUCGCGUGAGGGAUGACGGCCCUAUGGGUUGUAAACUUCUUUUGUCAGGGAGCAAUUGGCGCCACGUGUUGCCUUAUCGAGAGUACCUGAAGAAAAAGCAUCGGCUAACUCCGUGCCAGCAGCCGCGGUAAUACGGAGGAUGCGAGCGUUAUCCGCAUUUAUUGGGUUUACAGGGUGCGUAGGCGGAAUAUCAAGUCAGCGGUAAAAAUUCGGGGUUCAACCCCGUCGUGCCGUUGAAACUGAGGUUCUUGAGUGGGCGAGAAGUAUGCGGAAUGCGUGGUGUAGCGGUGAAAUGCAUAGAUAUCACGCAGAACUCCGAUUGCGAAGGCAGCAUACCGGCGCCCAACUGACGCUGAAGCACGAAAGCGUGGGUAUCGAACAGGAUUAGAUACCCUAGUAGUC
Molecule: ribosomal RNA, 460 nt
Filed under: uncultured bacterium
Lineage: Bacteria
Description: partial 16S ribosomal RNA
Rfam family: Bacterial small subunit ribosomal RNA
Source: RNAcentral